This 434-nucleotide ribosomal RNA is filed under the name uncultured fungus. RNAcentral describes it as "eukaryotic LSU rRNA". Lineage: Eukaryota; Fungi. The record is from RNAcentral.
CAUGCGCACCCCUUCUCAUCUAUAUAUUUUUCUCAUUCCCCCCCAAUGUAUGGAGAGAGAAUGUUGUCCCAUAAAAUAUAYACAACUCUCCGCAAGGGAUCUUGGGGCUCUCGCAGAGGAGGAGARCRCAGAAAAAUGCGAUAAGAAAUGAGAAGCGCAGAACUCAGAGUCUCAUAGUAUCUGUGRRCGCCCCGUGCGCUCCUGGGUUUUGCGGGGCGCACGCCUGUGAGAGUCUCAAAAAUAUAUAUCAACCCUUCUCUUGUUGAAUGGGUUUGGAUGUGGGGGUUUGCUGGUCUCUUAUAGGGUUCAGCUCCCCUGAAAUACAUUAGCAGAACAACCUGUUCAUUUGGUGUGAUAACUAUCUACGCUUUUGAAUGUAAAGGGAAAGUUCAGCUUUCUAACCGUCUUUGGACAAUCUAUCAUUUAUGGACCUC